RNAcentral lists this ribosomal RNA (501 nucleotides) under Triticum aestivum (bread wheat). RNAcentral describes it as "partial small subunit ribosomal RNA". Lineage: Eukaryota; Viridiplantae; Streptophyta; Magnoliopsida; Poales; Poaceae. The record is from RNAcentral.
AUGCUGGCCAGAAAAAAAGCGAUCAACAUGAAACAGAAACGAAUGAAGAAAGAACCUAAACAUAAACGGCCCUAUGCGCGGACUACGAGGUGGCAUGUGACGGCGCCGCUUGGAGGGAGCGCACCGCACGCGCGCCACGCGCCCGCCGCCUCGGCCGACACGGUGCCUCACAGGGCUGCCACGCUCGGUUCCUCUCCUUCAUCAAAAGCAUCAUUUACUCGGACGCUUUGUUGCAAAGCAGCUACGCACAAGAAGACGGAGGGUCAGCGGUCGCCAAGCGUGGUGAGGGAGAUCGUGUACGGGAUGAGCCUGGGGCUCUUGGUGGGGUACUUGUGGAAGUUGCACCAUUGGAGCAACCAGCGCCGCACCCGUGAGUUAUACAGCCUACUCGACGAGGGCACGAUCUCCGUCGUCGUCGACGAGGCCGCUGGAGCCAAGGACUAUCACUAUCCAUAUAGUUUCACCUACCUACUAGGAGAGCUAGAACAGGAGUGCGGCUAA